Molecule: ribosomal RNA, 717 nt
Filed under: phytoplankton environmental sample
Lineage: Eukaryota
Description: SSU rRNA
Rfam family: Eukaryotic small subunit ribosomal RNA
Source: RNAcentral
AGUCUGGUGCCAGCAGCCGCGGUAAUUCCAGCUCCAAUAGCGUAUAUUUAAGUUGUUGCAGUUAAAAAGCUCGUAGUCGGAUUUUGGCUGAGAACGGUCGGUCCGCCGUUAGGUGUGCACUGACUGGUCUCAGCUUCCUGGUGAGGAGGUGUGCUUCAUCGCCACUUAGUCACCGUGGUUACUUUGAAAAAAUUAGAGUGUUCAAAGCGGGCUUACGCUUGAAUAUAUUAGCAUGGAAUAACACCAUAGGACUCCUGUCCUAUUUCGUUGGUCUCGGGACGGGAGUAAUGAUUAAGAGGAACAGUUGGGGGCAUUCGUAUUUCAUUGUCAGAGGUGAAAUUCUUGGAUUUAUGAAAGACGAACUUCUGCGAAAGCAUUUGCCAAGGAUGUUUUCAUUGAUCAAGGACGAAAGUUGGGGGCUCGAAGAUGAUUAGAUACCAUCCUAGUCUCAACCAUAAACGAUGCCGACUAGGGAUUGGCGGAUGUUAAUUGAUGACUUCGCCAGCACCUUAUGAGAAAUCAAAGUUUUUGGGUUCCGGGGGGAGUAUGGUCGCAAGGCUGAAACUUAAAGGAAUUGACGGAAGGGCACCACCAGGCGUGGAGCCUGCGGCUUAAUUUGACUCAACACGGGGAAACUUACCAGGUCCAGACAUAGUAAGGAUUGACAGAUUGAGAGCUCUUUCUUGAUUCUAUGGGUGGUGGUGCAUGGCCGUUCUU